RNAcentral lists this ribosomal RNA (253 nucleotides) under uncultured bacterium. RNAcentral describes it as "partial 16S ribosomal RNA". It matches the Rfam family "Bacterial small subunit ribosomal RNA", at positions 524 to 776 of the family's 1533-position model. The record is from RNAcentral.
UACGAAGGGUGCAAGCGUUAUUCGGAUUCACUGGGUUUAAAGGGUGCGUAGGCGGCGAGGUAAGUCGGAUGUGAAAUCUCAGGGCUCAACCCUGAAACUGCAUUCGAUACUGCCUUGCUUGAGGACUCGAGAGGAGAUUGGAAUUCACGGUGUAGCAGUGAAAUGCGUAGAUAUCGGGAGGAAGACCAGUGGCGAAGGCGGAUCUCUGGAGAGUUCCUGACGCUGAGGCACGAAGGCCAGGGGAGCAAACGGG